GUGAAAUCCUAGGUCAUUCUCUUCUCUUGACUUGACUUUUCCUCUUCUGCAGAAGAACAAUAUAAGGAUUAUGGUGAAUUGCCAGAGCUGGGAAAAGAUAGUCUGUAUACGCAAAUAUGUUAAGUGAGAAUUUUUCUGUUGUUAAAAGCUUGGUCAGAGAUCCCAGUGGAUUCCUGUGGAAAGGGUACCAUAGGGGAUGACAGAGUGAGCUAUGAUGCAGAGUCCACCAGUUCGAAGAAGGGUCAUAGACUGAC
Molecule: long non-coding RNA, 254 nt
Filed under: Mustela putorius furo (domestic ferret)
Lineage: Eukaryota; Metazoa; Chordata; Mammalia; Carnivora; Mustelidae
Description: lncRNA (ENSMPUG00000028289.1)
Source: RNAcentral